RNAcentral lists this non-coding RNA (133 nucleotides) under Rhodococcus jostii RHA1. RNAcentral also lists the same sequence under 1 other name. Lineage: Bacteria; Bacillati; Actinomycetota; Actinomycetes; Mycobacteriales; Nocardiaceae. The record is from RNAcentral.
UUCGCAGGACAAAGCGAUGGUUCGGCAGGAAUCCGGUGCAAUCCCGGAGCGGUCGCGCCACUGUAAAUCGGAGUAGUCCUUCACGGGAGCCACCUCGACAGCCAGAUACUGCGGCCAUCGCCUGGACCUAGGG